This 458-nucleotide ribosomal RNA is filed under the name uncultured Euglenales. RNAcentral's name for it is "bacterial SSU rRNA". It matches the Rfam family "Bacterial small subunit ribosomal RNA", at positions 22 to 524 of the family's 1533-position model. Lineage: Eukaryota; Euglenozoa; Euglenophyceae; Euglenales. The record is from RNAcentral.
GCUCAGGAUGAACGCUGGCGGCAUGCUUAACACAUGCAAGUUGAAGAUUCUACUAGAAAUAGUAGGGUAGUGACGGACGGGUGAGUAAUGUGUAAGAAUCUGCGUUAGGAGAGGGACAACAGUUGGAAACGUCUGCUAAUACCUCAUAAUGCUAUAAAGUUAAGAAAAUUCGCCUAAGCAUGAGCUUGCAUCUGAUUAGCUUGUUGGUGAGGUAAUGGCUUACAAGGCAAUGAUCAGUAGCUGAUUUGAGAAGAUGAUCAGCCACACUGGAAUUGAGAACGAACAGACUUCUACGGAAGGCAGCAGUGAGGAAUUUUCCGCAAUGGGCGCAAGCCUGACGAGCAAUGCCGCGUGAAGGAAGAAGGCCUUUGGGUUGUAAACUUCUUUUCUCAUAGAAGAAAAAUGACGGUAUAUGAGGAAUAAGCAUCGGCUAAUUCCGUGCCAGCAGCCGCGGUAAU